AAAGGAAACCUUCAAGAAAGGGAGAUUCCCAGGCCAUCUUUAGAAUUUAGGCCCUGAUUUCACAUCAUAGAAUUGUUUCUCUUGGGGGAGGUUCAAUGAAAGACUUAAAGAACUUAGUGGAUAUGAAGACAUACUGUAGAUGUUAGGAACUGCUGCUGUUGCCUUAAAGGAUACCCCUUUCCCCAGAUCCCUGUUGAUUCAUCUUAUUUAUACAACAAAUCCGUAGACUAGAGCCUGGCACA
This 242-nucleotide long non-coding RNA is filed under the name Bos taurus (domestic cattle). RNAcentral describes it as "long non-coding RNA NONBTAT007462". The record is from RNAcentral. Lineage: Eukaryota; Metazoa; Chordata; Mammalia; Artiodactyla; Bovidae.